Cervus elaphus (red deer) is the source of this 310-nucleotide long non-coding RNA. RefSeq lists it as uncharacterized. NCBI's taxonomy places the organism in Eukaryota, Metazoa, Chordata, Mammalia, Artiodactyla, Cervidae. The transcript is spliced from 2 exons. The record is from RefSeq and is a predicted model, not a curated record.
CAGCCAACCCUCACAGGAAGAGGCCUCAAGCCGACUACCGGGCUCAGAUCCUUUGAAGGUCAGGUCGGCUCGGCUUGCGAAACUCACGGUUUGGAUCCCGCCAAUUCGGAAUUCACACGAUCGAUCUCCUGUUUGUCUCUUCUGCCGCUCAACCUCACACCCAAAUAAGAUGGCAACUCACGUGUGCUUCUGGAAUCCCUGACCUUGAUGGCAUUAGCAAAGAACUCGGAAGUCGGUGCUCUUGGUAUGUGUCAUUAAUACCUGCAUGUCAUAUGCAGGAGGAGGGAUAAAGUCUUAAAAGGAAAUGUAA